UACGUAGGGUGCGAGCGUAAUCGGAAUUACUGGGCGUAAAGCGUGCGCAGGCGGUUGUACAAGACAGAUGUGAAAUCCCCGGGCUUAACCUGGGAAUUGCAUUUGUGACUGCACGGCUAGAGUGUGUCAGAGGGGGUAGAAUCCACGUGUAGCAGUGAAAUGCGUAGAUAUGUGGAGGAAUACCGAUGGCGAAGGCAGCCCCCGUGGGAUAACGACUGACGCUCAUGCACGAAAGCGUGGGAGCAACAGG
RNAcentral lists this ribosomal RNA (250 nucleotides) under uncultured bacterium. RNAcentral describes it as "partial 16S ribosomal RNA". It matches the Rfam family "Bacterial small subunit ribosomal RNA", at positions 524 to 776 of the family's 1533-position model. The record is from RNAcentral.